This is a non-coding RNA of Gymnopus androsaceus JB14, 82 nucleotides long. NCBI's taxonomy places the organism in Eukaryota, Fungi, Basidiomycota, Agaricomycetes, Agaricales, Omphalotaceae. The record is from the annotation of a GenBank genome assembly.
GGUUUGAUGGCGUAGUCGAUUAUUGCAUCUAUCUAACAUAGAUGCUAUAUAGAAGCUGCCGGUUCGAACCCGGGUCGAAUCA